GACAGAGGUCCCGAGCGUUAGGCGGAAUCACUGGGCUUAAAGCGUGUGUAGGCGGAUUUGUAAGUACCUUGUGAAAUCCCACAGCUCAACUGUGGAACUGCUUGGUAUACUGCUUAUCUUGGGCCAUCUAGGGGCUACCGGAACAAGUGGUGGAGCGGUGAAAUGCGUAGAUAUCGGGAGGAACACCAGUGGCGAAGGCGGUUGCCUGGAGCUUUGCUGACGCUGAUGCGCGAAAGCGUGGGGAGCGAUCCGG
This 253-nucleotide ribosomal RNA is filed under the name uncultured bacterium. RNAcentral's name for it is "partial 16S ribosomal RNA". It matches the Rfam family "Bacterial small subunit ribosomal RNA", at positions 524 to 776 of the family's 1533-position model. The record is from RNAcentral.